This 253-nucleotide ribosomal RNA is filed under the name uncultured bacterium. RNAcentral's name for it is "partial 16S ribosomal RNA". It matches the Rfam family "Bacterial small subunit ribosomal RNA", at positions 524 to 776 of the family's 1533-position model. The record is from RNAcentral.
UACGUAGGGUGCGAGCGUUAAUCGGAAUUACUGGGCGUAAAGCGUGCGCAGGCGGUUCGUUGUGUCUGAUGUGAAAGCCCCGGGCUCAACCUGGGAAUGGCAUUGGAAACUGGCGAGCUAGAGUGUGGCAGAGGGGGGUGGAAUUCCGCGUGUAGCAGUGAAAUGCGUAGAGAUGUGGAGGAACACCGAUGGCGAAGGCAGCCCCCUGGGUCAAGAUUGACGCUCAUGCACGAAAGCGUGGGGAGCAAACAGG